UUUUUUGAAAAAUUUUAAAUUUGUUAACGUUUUUUAAAAUAAUUAUAUUAUUUUUGUAUUUAAUAAAAAUUUAUUAAUAAUUUAACUGAAAAGGAAAAUUGAAAAGUUUUAAAAAUUUUUAAAAAUUAAAAAGUUCAUUUAAGGUACCUUUUGCAUCAGGGUUUUUUAAAAAAAUUAAAAUAUUUUUAUCUUCCCGAAGUCAAAAUGAUCUAUUUAAAUAUAAAUUUUUAUGUUAUAUUAUAAUAAUUAAUGUUUGAAUAGAAAUGAAAUUUUUUUCGUGUUUGGUGAUAUCUGGUUAUUUAAUAUUGAUUUUAGAUCAGAAUUAUAAAUGUAAUUUUUUUUUAUUUUUAUAAUUUAUUCUGUCAGGGAUAAGCUUGAUAGAUUUCUUUAUAAUGAAAAAUUUUUUAAGUUGAGGAUUAAAAUUUUCUAUGUUUUUUUACAAAAACCUUAUAGGUAUUAAAAUAAUUUAAGAUUUUUAUUUGAUUAAAUAAAUUUUUAAUUUAGUGAAAUUAUUAAAAAAUUAGUAAAUGAUUAUAAAAUUAAUAAUAAUUAAGUUUUAUUUAAAAAUUAAAAAUAAUAUUAAAGGAAUUCGGCAAUAAUGUUAGUUGACUGUUUAUCAAAAACAUUUCAUUUUGAAAAUUAAUAAAAUGUAUAAUCUGCUCAAUGAAUAAUUUAAAUUGCUGUGGUAUUUUGACUAUACGAAGGUAUUGAAAUAAGAUUUUAAAUGAGUGCUAAGAGAAUGGUUGAACAAUUAUAAGCUUUCUUUAAUUUAAUAAUUAAAUUUAAUUUUUUUGUGAAGAAGCAAAAAUAAGAAUUAGGGACAAGAAGACCCUAUGAAUUUUAAUUUAUUUAUUAUAUAAAAUAUGUUAAAUAAAUUUAAUUGGGGCGAUUGGAAAAGAAUAAGUAUCUUUUUUUAAAAAUUUUUAAAAAUUGGUUCCGUUUUUAGCGAUUAAAUGAAAAAAAUACUCUAGGGAUAACAGCGUAAUAAUUUUGGAUAGUUCAUAUUGAUAAAAUAGUUUGCGACCUCGAUGUUGGAUUAGGAUUCUUUUUUGGUGAAGAAAUUAUAAAAAGAAGUUUGUUCAACUUUUAAUUUCCUACAUGAUCUGAGUUCAGACCGGCGUGAGCCAGGUUGGUUUCUAUCUUAAUUUAUAUAUAUAUAUUUUUUUAGUACGAAAGGAAUUAAAAAUUUAAAUUUUUUAAUAUUAAAAAAAAAUUUAAUAAUUUUACUAAUUUGGCAGAAAAAU
RNAcentral lists this ribosomal RNA (1244 nucleotides) under Ixodes granulatus. RNAcentral describes it as "16S ribosomal RNA". Lineage: Eukaryota; Metazoa; Arthropoda; Arachnida; Ixodida; Ixodidae. The record is from RNAcentral.